Molecule: non-coding RNA, 45 nt
Organism: Schistosoma mansoni
Lineage: Eukaryota; Metazoa; Platyhelminthes; Trematoda; Strigeidida; Schistosomatidae
Source: Rfam
AUCCACCUGAUGAGUCCCAACUAGAACAAAACGCGAGUCCUGGAU